GUGUUUUCAUCCAGGGUGUUCUCUCUCUCUCUCUCUCUCUCUCUCUCUGUGUGUGUGUGUGUGUGUGAGAGAGAGAGAGAGAGAGAGAGAGAGCUCAGUGGAAUGG
Non-coding RNA from Podarcis lilfordi (Lilford's wall lizard), 106 nucleotides. Lineage: Eukaryota; Metazoa; Chordata; Lepidosauria; Squamata; Lacertidae. The record is from the annotation of a GenBank genome assembly.